Clupea harengus (Atlantic herring) is the source of this 1497-nucleotide long non-coding RNA. RefSeq lists it as uncharacterized. The transcript has 4 exons. The record is from RefSeq and is a predicted model, not a curated record. NCBI's taxonomy places the organism in Eukaryota, Metazoa, Chordata, Actinopteri, Clupeiformes, Clupeidae.
CACAACCCACUCCUACACCCACAAACUUUUGAAAUGUGUCGGACGCAAACAUGCUUAAGUACAGAUUCCGCUAUGUUGAUAAGAGAAAAAUAUUUUGUAUGUAUCCCAGUUUAAUUCCAAAAUUACAUUUUUGUUAACGCUUCUGCUAGCUAUACACUAAUGCUGCUCAAUAUAACUGAAGAUGAUACCUUGGCACAGGCGGUUGUUUUAGGUGCUAGCCAUACAUUUCCAUCUAUUUAGUUAGCUAGCUAGCUAUAUAGCUCGUGAAAAAGCCUCCGUGAAGUAUGUUGGUCACAGUUUGUACAAAUAUUGUUGGCACCUACUUGAUCACUCAGCUUUAAUAUUCUACAGUAGUUUCACAUGCAAUGUUGUGGACCAUUAUCCUCUCGUUCCUACUAUGCAAGGUCUUCCGAUUGUGUUAGGUCGAAGCUUUUUAAUUGAUUUUCAGAUUCAGUCAAUUGAAUGUUUACAACUUGUUAUUACUGAGUGCCAACUGGUGCUUGGAAAUGAGUUGUGCGAGGUAUGUGUGAUGCAUGUGAUUUGACAGCAUGUUUUUAUAAGCUUAUGUUAAUAUUAUUUUAAGCUUUGUGGUCUAAAAUUUUUACGUUAUCAGGGAAAGGAUGUCCAUGCACUGAAUGCUUGUGUUAUGGUCACUUGACUUCCACAUCAUCAUCAAGACCCAUUUCUGACUCUACCUGUUAGUACUUUUGACUUGAUCCGUGCCCUUCACCUGCCUCUGCCUGAAGUGCUUUCCAGCAUGAUACAGUAUCAGCUAUUCCAGCCCAGAUAGGGUUCGAUUUCUGAUGGUUUUUUUAUACUAAUGGACAAUUCAACACAUUGAAUCCAUGGACGCUAAAUGAGGAAGAACGGGUCACCUUUCCACCUAUCAGGCUAUGCUGGGCAUGGGAGACGGGGGGAGCUUCAGGCGUUCUGCUACGAGGGCACUCAUCCUCGGCUCUCCAACGGGUUCUGCAGACAGUUUGCAGAAGGAUUGGGUGUGUGAAUGAGUGGAUGGGUGGGUAGGUGUGUGAGCAGAUGGGUCAAAACAGCAACUAAUGUUGCCUGUCCUUCCUCGUCAUUGACACAGACUGCCACCUUUGAGGUAUGCAGUAUUGUCAGAUCUUCAUUCCUACAUAUUUUAGCUGAUAGUACUUUUCACCACCUCUUAUCUCAGGUGGUAUCAAAGUGUCAGUGUGUUCCUUAUGCCCCCACCCCCAUGAAUACAGGCCUCUGAAACAUCUGCUCACACCUGGAUCCUCUAUUUAAUAAACUUCCCCUGUGAACCCCCAUUGGGGCAGUUCCUUUGUAAGACUAGCUGCCUGAUACAUAUUCAUGUAGGAUCCGGGCUAUUGGUUGACACCCAUUAUUCUGUUUAAGAUACUUGAACUUGGACUGUUUCAAUGUCUAAUCAGAGACACAGGUGAAUCUGCUGAGUGAAACCUUCCUCUUUCCCUUGAUGCACAUCAUUGCAUCAAGAAUAAAGCCUGUUUCCUGGUU